RNAcentral lists this ribosomal RNA (468 nucleotides) under uncultured bacterium. RNAcentral describes it as "partial 16S ribosomal RNA". It matches the Rfam family "Bacterial small subunit ribosomal RNA", at positions 28 to 507 of the family's 1533-position model. The record is from RNAcentral.
GACGAACGCUGGCGGCGUGCUUAACACAUGCAAGUCGAACGGAAAGACCCUGCUUUUGUGGGGUGCUCGAGUGGCGAACGGGUGAGUAACACGUGAGUAACCUGCCCUUGACUUUGGGAUAACUUCAGGAAACUGGGUCUAAUACCGGAUAGGAGCUCCUGCUGCAUGGUGGGGGUUGGAAAGUUUCGGCGGUUGGGGAUGGACUCGCGGCUUAUCAGCUUGUUGGUGGGGUAGUGGCUUACCAAGGCUUUGACGGGUAGCCGGCCUGAGAGGGUGACCGGCCACAUUGGGACUGAGAUACGGCACAGACUCGUACGGGAGGCAGCAGUGGGGAAUAUUGCACAAUGGGCGGAAGCCUGAUGCAGCAACGCCGCGUGCGGGAUGACGGCCUUCGGGUUGUAAACCGCUUUCGCCUGUGACGAAGCGUGAGUGACGGUAAUGGGUAAAGAAGCACCGGCUAACUACGUG